CUCUAGCCCUGAUGGAAGCGACACCUUGUAUAGCGGACAACAGGAAUAUCG
Molecule: small RNA, 51 nt
Filed under: Flavobacterium aciduliphilum
Lineage: Bacteria; Pseudomonadati; Bacteroidota; Flavobacteriia; Flavobacteriales; Flavobacteriaceae
Description: Flavo-1 RNA
Source: RNAcentral